AACGAACGCUGGCGGCAGGCCUAACACAUGCAAGUCGAGCGCGCCCUUCGGGGUGAGCGGCUGACGGGUGUGUAACGCGUGGGAACGUUCCCUUUUCUACGAAAUAGCCUCGGGAAACUGAGAGUAAUACCGAAUACGCCCUUUUGCGGAAAGAUUUAUCGGAAAAGGAUCGGCCCGCGGUGGAUGGGUUAGUUGGUGGGGUAAUGGCCUCCCAAGCCUAUGAUCCAUAGCUGACUUGAUAGGAUGAUCAGCCACACUGGGCCUGAGCCACGGCCCAGAUUCCUACGGGAGGAAGCAGUGGGGAAUCUUAGACAAUGGGGGAACCCCUGAUCUAGCAAGGCCGGGUGAGUGAUGAAGGCUUUAGGGUUGUAAAGCUCUUUCAGCUGGGCAGAUAAUGACGGUACCAGCAGAAGAAGCCCCGGCGAACUCCGU
RNAcentral lists this ribosomal RNA (432 nucleotides) under uncultured bacterium. RNAcentral's name for it is "partial 16S ribosomal RNA". It matches the Rfam family "Bacterial small subunit ribosomal RNA", at positions 29 to 506 of the family's 1533-position model. The record is from RNAcentral.